Molecule: small nuclear RNA, 102 nt
Filed under: Saimiri boliviensis boliviensis (Bolivian squirrel monkey)
Lineage: Eukaryota; Metazoa; Chordata; Mammalia; Primates; Cebidae
Source: RNAcentral
GUGCUUUGCUUUGGCAGCAUAUAUACUGGAACAGUACAGAGAAGGUAAGUGUGGCUCCUGCACAAGCAUGAUACAAACAUUUCCUAAAUGUUCCUUUACAAA